GUUUCAGUUAGUCACAGCUAGCCGGGGGUAUGUCCUUGCCAAUCAAGUUUGAGGGGUUAUGUCUAUGGAUGGACUAAGUUUUUAUGUUUUGCAGGUCUCAACCUCCCCUGCUUCAAAGGUUAAACAUUAGGUUGCCUGAGGUAUCUUGCCCAUCGAGCGUGGAUAAGGUCGGCUGAUGGCGGGCAUUGGAAGGAUUUUUUAUGACGACGGGGGAGGUGAGAGGAAGUGG
Molecule: non-coding RNA, 229 nt
Organism: Pelobates cultripes (western spadefoot toad)
Lineage: Eukaryota; Metazoa; Chordata; Amphibia; Anura; Pelobatidae
Source: the annotation of a GenBank genome assembly